This is a long non-coding RNA of Alligator mississippiensis (American alligator), 1622 nucleotides long. RefSeq lists it as uncharacterized. The transcript is spliced from 4 exons. NCBI's taxonomy places the organism in Eukaryota, Metazoa, Chordata, Crocodylia, Alligatoridae. The record is from RefSeq and is a predicted model, not a curated record.
GGGCCUCUGCCGGAGCGGCGUUGGGGCUGGGGCUCCCGUGCCUCUCUGCCUGCUCUGGCCCCGGGGUGGCAGUGCUGGCAGCAGCCAGGGCACGGCUCGGGAAGAGUCCCAGAGGAAGCAGGACCCCGCAACAAACCCCAGCUUAGCGAGGGCGGUGAAAGCAGCAGUGCUUCCAGUCUGCAUCAGAAUCCUACAGGAAAUGCAGCCUCAUGCCUGCAGUGGCCCAGGCCAGAGGCCAGGAGGUGUUAGAGAACACCUUCCUGCUUGGGUGGAGAAGACAGCUUGAGCCAAGGCCAGCCCGCCCACCCUGCAAAGGAGAGCCUCUAGAGGAUAAUUGAACAAGAAGAAAGCAUCCAGCUAAAAAGGAAAUAAAGAGAAAGACAAGGAAUUGUGGGCAAGGAGAGAAGAUUUACAUGCUGAAGUGUAAAACUGCAAUUAUGUAUUUCAUAUGUUUAUAUGACAUUCAUCGUGCCAAGUUAAGUGCUUUGGAAGGAUAAAUAUGACUUACUAGCAUCUGACUCAUGAUACCAAUGAAUAUUAAAGCCAAGAUGCAACAAACAGCCUAACUCAGUUAUUUGUGGCACAUUAAGAGAAAGUUGCAAUUCAUCACAACAGAUGACUGAAAAACAGUUCCUGCUAUAACUUUUUACAGUCACUAUAACUACCUCUGCUAGUAGCUUGUGUGAUUUCUCAAGAAAAUGUAUCUUAUAUGCUGAUUACUAAAGCAUUCUCUGCGUCAUACACUCACAUUCUGGUAAAAAAAAGGGACAUGUGUUUUUGGUUUAAUUUAUGAAACUUAAUCUUUACCAUUCCUUCCUAGUCAAUUGCUUGGGAAACUGGGCUUUAUAUUCCUCAAGUAGUUUUUCUGACAGUGGUAAAUCUUUGCCUACAGUAAACUGUUCAAAGCUGAAGAACCAUUAAACCAUUAAGAACCCCAUAAAAUGAAGAUGUAUGAUGGCCAUCCUGAAGAGGAUGUUUCAAAAUCAGGGGCCUAGGGGAACACAGCUGUUCUCCUCUGUCUUAGCCCUCUACUUUUGAUACCAAUGCAAUGCUAUGAAUAUAAUGUCAUGUGAAACUGAACUCAAUUUCUAAUUAUCUUCAGAUGCUGGUCAGUUGGAAAAGAUCAACAGAACUGAAGAAUUACAUUCUAAAUGUUGUUUCAAAUAUAAGUAGUUUAUUUUACCUAGGCCACUACUUGGCUUUAUCUAACAUUUUCCAGAAAUAUUUAAAAAAUAUUUCUGAAGGUGGCUUAAGACCAUUAAUUUUUCAACUGCAUACAUAAGGUAUAUUUCUACUCUUACUAAGAUUUUUUUUUCUUGCUGGCUACUUAGGAACUGUAAAUGCAUAAUGCUAUACCGUUACAAUUUAUGACUCUUGAUAAAUAAUUAUUUCCUAUUGGAAGCUGCAUUUUAAAGGGAAGGACUUGCUUAUAUUUUGGAUAAUGCAUAUUUUAAUAUUUUUUAAACUCUGUAUUACAAACCUGUAAUAAAAGAAAGCAAAACUAAAUGUUUGUCUGCAUACUAGCAGUUGGCAUUGUUGGCAUACCCUCCUAACUUCGUAGCUUUCAAUUAUUUACUCUGCCUCUCCUGUCACACCAAAUUGAAUUGAACAUGGAAUUUUAA